Molecule: transfer RNA, 75 nt
Filed under: Paramuribaculum intestinale
Lineage: Bacteria; Pseudomonadati; Bacteroidota; Bacteroidia; Bacteroidales; Muribaculaceae
Also listed under: 2 other names
Description: tRNA-Met
Rfam family: tRNA
About the family: Transfer RNA (tRNA) molecules are approximately 80 nucleotides in length. Their secondary structure includes four short double-helical elements and three loops (D, anti-codon, and T loops).
Source: RNAcentral
GGCGGGAUAGCUCAGUUGGUUAGAGCGUCGGAUUCAUAACCCGGAGGUCUCGAGUUCAAUUCUCGAUCCCGCUAC